This is an unclassified non-coding RNA of Callithrix jacchus (white-tufted-ear marmoset), 275 nucleotides long. It matches the Rfam family "Metazoan signal recognition particle RNA". Rfam says of the family: The signal recognition particle (SRP) is a universally conserved ribonucleoprotein. It is involved in the co-translational targeting of proteins to membranes. The record is from Ensembl. Lineage: Eukaryota; Metazoa; Chordata; Mammalia; Primates; Cebidae.
UCCGGGCACAGUGAAGCAUGCCUGUAGUCCCAGCUACUCGGGAGGCAGAGGUGGGAAGAUCACUUGAGCCCAGGAGUUCUGGGCUGCAGCGUGCUAUGCCGAUCGGGUGUUCGCACUAAGUUCGGCAUCAGUAUGGUGACCUCCCAGGAGCAGGGGACCACCAGGUUGCUUAAGGAGGGGUGAACCGGCCCAGGUCAGAAAGGCAGCAGGUUAAAGUUCAGAAAUAGUGUAACUAGAAUGAGUAGCUUCACCCUGUAUUUAAGAUUAAUUUUUUU